ACUCCGAGAUGAAUAAAGAAAAGCACGAAAAAGGCUCGGAUAGCGCUAAGGAUGAUUCUGUCAGCGCAGAUAAUAAAAAGUAAAGAAAAUAAAGAAGGAGGAUGAUGUGAUAACUAAGAAGGAACCCACAAUUAGAUCUAAUUACUAAGGAGGCCUUGUGGGAUAAACUAAUACAGGCUCUCUGCAGUUUACACCUGAUCUCUAGUCGGAAGCUCCUAAUGAUGAUUCUAAAGCAGUGUUUGAAUCUACCACAUUGUCUCUAUUAAAACAAGAAGAAAAAACUUAUGCCUUAUCUGACCUUUUUGGUUUGGGCUUAGGCCCAACAGGUCCUGAGACUGGAAACACAGGACAUCCAACUCAGUCCCAAUCAAAAAGUGUGCAGCUAUUGGGUAGCAAUGUUAUAAACAAACAGUCCAGUUCUAUGGAAGUGCAGUAUAUGCAAUACAACAAAGUCAAAUAUUCGUUUUUUUUCAACAGUGUUAGCGAAUUCUGGAGCUGAUGAAGUUCUUCAGGGACAUUACCCCUCAAUCAUUGCUUCUCAUUAUGCACAACCAGGUACUAAAAAUAUUUGGAGAAAAACCCUUUGAAGGUAACACAGUUUAAUCAGCAGAAUGCAGCUCGGUGGCCAUUUAGCCAUUUAGCCAUGAUGAAAAAUAAGGAUUGUACAGGAAGUCCCGGAGUAGGCUCUAAGCCCCCUCCCAGUAUAGAUAAUUUCUCAGAUCCAGAAGGAUUAAAAGAUAUGAUAGAUUUGGAUGAUAGUGAUAUCCUUGGGAACCAUCAUUUAACAAUAACCAUCAUUUAGAAGGACUGGAGGGUGCUGUAACUAACGGUUUACCUGACAUGGGUCCAGAUAUGAACUCAUGUAGUCCUUUUUUAUUAAAUGGUCAGCACAAAUUACAGGGCGUUCAAGUGCAUAAUAAAAACCUAAUUCCUCCGCAAAGGCAACACAGAGAAGAGCAUUUGGCAUCUAUUAGAAAAAUGCAUCAGUUGCUGUUUUCUGAAAGUCAGAGUGAUGAGACCAUUGGAGGCCCUCCUGAUGAACUAUCAGGCAUCCUUUCUGGAGGUGCAGCGCCAUUGAGAAGUUUCUAAUGUCGUGGACGCCUUCAAAUACAAUUGGGAGAACCAAGUUAGAAUUUUAACAAAGGCCAUCGAUGAUAUAACGACAGUAGAUGACUUUUUGGAUGUGUCUGAAAAUCACAUUUUGGAAGAUGUGAACAACUGUGUCCUACGUAUGUGGAACGUACUGCAGCGGCAAUCAGAGGCCGUCGCGGCAGAAAUGAAUAAUUAUGAACAGUGGAUUUACACGAAACGAGUUUUGGAGGCAGUAAAGGUGCUAAAUGAUCAGGUGAUGCCUAACUUUACGGAGAGGGUACAGGUUGGCAGUUCAAGCAAUUUUAAGUGAUCAGCAACGACAACCUGCGAAAGAUGAAAACUGGACGAAUUUAUCCCCACUUUCAGUCUAGUCUACGAUGGUGUGCGUGAAAUUCGUAGUGCAGUACUAAUGAAUCGAACGGAUGAAGACCUGGAACCUGAAGAUGUCGAGCUUGAUGAAAAUACCCUUUGGAAACGAAAGGCAAUCAAGUGUCCAUAACUGAGAUUAACGGCAUAACGACAGCUCGCGAAGCCAUGGGUAGAUGCCUGAGGAAGAUAAACAGAAGAUCAUCCAACAGGUGGAAUACUUGAGAGGAACGAGAAGUUCAAGUUCGACAGCGAAGUCGCCAAGUAGGACGACACGGACAACGACAUCAUCGUUCUGGCGAAGCACACGUGCGUCAUCAUGAUGGGGAAGACGGACCAGAAGUCGUUGCCCGCUAAAAGCCACGAUGGUUGUCAUCAACGCCGUUAAAAAGAUAUCCAAAGCCGGCACAAAGCUGGAUAGACGGACCCGCCAAAUCGUAGACCAGUGUCCAGAAAGCUCAACCAAGAAAGAUUUGUAGACAUAUUUGCGACGUAUAGCGCUUUAUCGCCGCCAAAUGAGCAUCGCCUCCAAGGUAAAAGCUGACGUUCAGAAUAUCAGUGGUGAACUAAUUGGUUCAGGCUUAGACAGUGCCACAUCCUUAAUAUAAGCCGCUAAAAACCUGAUGGACCUCCAUAAGUAAAGUUUUAUAUUAAAAAUAGAGAUUGAAAGAAUUUGUUUUACUUCUGUAGCAGUUGGAGGUACUGCGUGGAGUCACCCAUCAAGGCAGCUGAAAAUGGAGAUGACAAGCGAGUAGAGGAGUAUGCUGAGAAUUUUACGGAGCAUUUUAACAAACUGGUUGAGGUCGCAAAUUUAGUUUGCAGUAAUAAAUGAGUCCUAGCUCUUCAGGAGAAUGAAGCAAACACAUUGGAACGUACCGCAGCGGCAAUCAGAGGCCGUACUGGUCGUAUUGCCCUUGUUGUCGCGGCAGAAAUGGACAAUUCAAGCCACUAAAAACCUGAUGGACGCUGUCGUUUUGUCAGUUAAAGCGUCGGCGUCGUAUGUUGCCUCAACAAAAUAACCAAGACAACAAUGAACUCUUGCCUCUCCAAUUGUUGUAUGGAAGAUGAAAUAACCCGAGAAGAAGCCUUAUAUUCGUGCCAAAGUAAGGAAAGGGUCACAGAAGAAGGUUCAGAACCGGAUGCAUUGUUGGGAAUACCAAACAGAAUCUGUUUUAAAGAGUGUUUUCGGUAACCUACUUUUUU
RNAcentral lists this long non-coding RNA (2661 nucleotides) under Sitophilus oryzae (rice weevil). RNAcentral describes it as "uncharacterized LOC115885954". Lineage: Eukaryota; Metazoa; Arthropoda; Insecta; Coleoptera; Curculionidae. The record is from RNAcentral.